This 497-nucleotide ribosomal RNA is filed under the name uncultured bacterium. Its description in RNAcentral is "partial 16S ribosomal RNA". It matches the Rfam family "Bacterial small subunit ribosomal RNA", at positions 28 to 507 of the family's 1533-position model. The record is from RNAcentral.
GAUGAACGCUGGCGGCGUGCCUAAUACAUGCAAGUCGAGCGAACGGACGAGAAGCUUGCUUCUCUGAUGUUAGCGGCGGACGGGUGAGUAACACGUGGAUAACCUACCUAUAAGACUGGGAUAACUUCGGGAAACCGGAGCUAAUACCGGAUGAUAUUUUGAACCGCAUGGUUCAAAAGUGAAAGACGGUCUUGCUGUCACUUAUAGAUGGAUCCGCGCUGCAUUAGCUAGUUGGUAAGGUAACGGCUUACCAAGGCAACGAUGCAUAGCCGACCUGAGAGGAUGAUCGGCCACACUGGAACUGAGACACGGUCCAGACUCCUACGGGAGGCAGCAGUAGGGAAUCUUCCGCAAUGGGCGAAAGCCUGACGGAGCAACGCCGCGUGAGCGAUGAAGGUCUUCGGAUCGUAAAACUCUGUUAUUAGGGAAGAACAUAUGUGUAAGUAACUGUGCACAUCUUGACGGUACCUAAUCAGAAAGCCACGGCUAACUACGUG